GUUAGUGGAAGCGUCUGGAAAGGCGCGCGAUACAGGGUGACAGCCCCGUACACAAAAAUGCACAUACUGUGAGCUCGAUGAGUAGGGCGGGACACGUGGUAUCCUGUCUGAAUAUGGGGGGACCAUCCUCCAAGGCUAAAUACUCCUGACUGACCGAUAGUGAACCAGUACCGUGAGGGAAAGGCGAAAAGAACCCCGGCGAGGGGAGUGAAAAAGAACCUGAAACCGUGUACGUACAAGCAGUGGGAGCCUCUUAAUGGGGUGACUGCGUACCUUUUGUAUAAUGGGUCAGCGACUUAUAUUCUGUAGCAAGGUUAACCGAAUAGGGGAGCCGAAGGGAAACCGAGUCUUAACUGGGCGUUAAGUUGCAGGGUAUAGACCCGAAACCCGGUGAUCUAGCCAUGGGCAGGUUGAAGGUUGGGUAACACUAACUGGAGGACCGAACCGACUAAUGUUGAAAAAUUAGCGGAUGACUUGUGGCUGGGGGUGAAAGGCCAAUCAAACCGGGAGAUAGCUGGUUCUCCCCGAAAGCUAUUUAGGUAGCGCCUCGUGAAUUCAUCUCCGGGGGUAGAGCACUGUUUCGGCAAGGGGGUCAUCCCGACUUACCAACCCGAUGCAAACUGCGAAUACCGGAGAAUGUUAUCACGGGAGACACACGGCGGGUGCUAACGUCCGUCGUGAAGAGGGAAACAACCCAGACCGCCAGCUAAGGUCCCAAAGUCAUGGUUAAGUGGGAAACGAUGUGGGAAGGCCCAGACAGCCAGGAUGUUGGCUUAGAAGCAGCCAUCAUUUAAAGAAAGCGUAAUAGCUCACUGGUCGAGUCGGCCUGCGCGGAAGAUGUAACGGGGCUAAACCAUGCACCGAAGCUGCGGCAGCGACACUAUGUGUUGUUGGGUAGGGGAGCGUUCUGUAAGCCUGUGAAGGUGUACUGUGAGGUAUGCUGGAGGUAUCAGAAGUGCGAAUGCUGACAUAAGUAACGAUAAAGCGGGUGAAAAGCCCGCUCGCCGGAAGACCAAGGGUUCCUGUCCAACGUUAAUCGGGGCAGGGUGAGUCGACCCCUAAGGCGAGGCCGAAAGGCGUAGUCGAUGGGAAACAGGUUAAUAUUCCUGUACUUGGUGUUACUGCGAAGGGGGGACGGAGAAGGCUAUGUUGGCCGGGCGACGGUUGUCCCGGUUUAAGCGUGUAGGCUGGUUUUCCAGGCAAAUCCGGAAAAUCAAGGCUGAGGCGUGAUGACGAGGCACUACGGUGCUGAAGCGACAAAUGCCCUGCUUCCAGGAAAAGCCUCUAAGCAUCAGGUAACAUCAAAUCGUACCCCAAACCGACACAGGUGGUCAGGUAGAGAAUACCAAGGCGCUUGAGAGAACUCGGGUGAAGGAACUAGGCAAAAUGGUGCCGUAACUUCGGGAGAAGGCACGCUGAUAUGUAGGUGAAGCGACUUGCUCGUGGAGCUGAAAUCAGUCGAAGAUACCAGCUGGCUGCAACUGUUUAUUAAAAACACAGCACUGUGCAAACACGAAAGUGGACGUAUACGGUGUGACGCCUGCCCGGUGCCGGAAGGUUAAUUGAUGGGGUUAGCGGUAACGCGAAGCUCUUGAUCGAAGCCCCGGUAAACGGCGGCCGUAACUAUAACGGUCCUAAGGUAGCGAAAUUCCUUGUCGGGUAAGUUCCGACCUGCACGAAUGGCGUAAUGAUGGCCAGGCUGUCUCCACCCGAGACUCAGUGAAAUUGAACUCGCUGUGAAGAUGCAGUGUACCCGCGGCAAGACGGAAAGACCCCGUGAACCUUUACUAUAGCUUGACACUGAACAUUGAGCCUUGAUGUGUAGGAUAGGUGGGAGGCUUUGAAGUGUGGACGCCAGUCUGCAUGGAGCCGACCUUGAAAUACCACCCUUUAAUGUUUGAUGUUCUAACGUGGGCCCCUUACCGGGGUUGCGGACAGUGUCUGGUGGGUAGUUUGACUGGGGCGGUCUCCUCCUAAAGAGUAACGGAGGAGCACGAAGGUUGGCUAAUCCUGGUCGGACAUCAGGAGGUUAGUGCAAUGGCAUAAGCCAGCUUGACUGCGAGCGUGACGGCGCGAGCAGGUGCGAAAGCAGGUCAUAGUGAUCCGGUGGUUCUGAAUGGAAGGGCCAUCGCUCAACGGAUAAAAGGUACUCCGGGGAUAACAGGCUGAUACCGCCCAAGAGUUCAUAUCGACGGCGGUGUUUGGCACCUCGAUGUCGGCUCAUCACAUCCUGGGGCUGAAGUAGGUCCCAAGGGUAUGGCUGUUCGCCAUUUAAAGUGGUACGCGAGCUGGGUUUAGAACGUCGUGAGACAGUUCGGUCCCUAUCUGCCGUGGGCGCUGGAGAACUGAGGGGGGCUGCUCCUAGUACGAGAGGACCGGAGUGGACGCAUCACUGGUGUUCGGGUUGUCAUGCCAAUGGCACUGCCCGGUAGCUAAAUGCGGAAGAGAUAAGUGCUGAAAGCAUCUAAGCACGAAACUUGCCCCGAGAUGAGUUCUCCCUGACUCCUUGAGAGUCCUGAAGGAACGUUGAAGACGACGACGUUGAUAGGCCGGGUGUGUAAGCGCAGCGAUGCGUUGAGCUAACCGGUACUAAUGAACCGUGAGGCUUAACCUU
Molecule: ribosomal RNA, 2614 nt
Filed under: Escherichia coli
Lineage: Bacteria; Pseudomonadati; Pseudomonadota; Gammaproteobacteria; Enterobacterales; Enterobacteriaceae
Description: partial 23S ribosomal RNA
Rfam family: Bacterial large subunit ribosomal RNA
Source: RNAcentral